Unclassified non-coding RNA from Nomascus leucogenys (northern white-cheeked gibbon), 103 nucleotides. It matches the Rfam family "Y RNA". Rfam says of the family: Y RNAs are components of the Ro ribonucleoprotein particle (Ro RNP), in association with Ro60 and La proteins. The record is from Ensembl. NCBI's taxonomy places the organism in Eukaryota, Metazoa, Chordata, Mammalia, Primates, Hylobatidae.
AGUUAGGGGCUGAUCACAGUCCCUUUACAACUAAUUGAUAACAACCUGCUACAGACUUCUUUGUUCCUUCUCCAGUUCCACUGCUUCAUUUGACUAGCUGAAA